Molecule: small RNA, 102 nt
Filed under: Pseudoalteromonas ulvae
Lineage: Bacteria; Pseudomonadati; Pseudomonadota; Gammaproteobacteria; Alteromonadales; Pseudoalteromonadaceae
Source: RNAcentral
UUCUCCCUAAAGUUUGUGAAAUAUUUUUGAGUUAGCGCACGGCUCAUUAUGAGCCAUUCCCCUAUGCCUAGGACAAUUUGGAUUAGUCCUAGGCGUUUUUUC